AGCGCCAUUCAACGUCAAUUGCGUGACAUCGAUGCCCGUAUGUUACUCUAAUGUUCUAAUCGGAAUCGUCGAUUUAACAUUCCAAAUUCCAGUUUUGCUAUACAUUUAUCUUUCAUUUAUCGUAUAAAAUGUCAGCAGCUCCACCACCAGAAGGAGGAGAAAAUACAGAAGGUGCAGAUGAACCUAGACCACCUAAUCCUCAACAUGUGGCUGCUCAGAAACGGAUACAACAACAGCAAGCCCAAGUUGAUGAGGUAGUGGAUAUUAUGCGUACAAAUGUGGAAAAGGUUUUGGAAAGAGAUAAGAAAUUGUCAGAGUUACAAGAAAGUGCAGAUGCAUUAGAAGAAGGAGCUUCCCAAUUUGAGAAACAAGCAGGAAAACUUAAGAGUAAGUUUUGGUGGAAGAAUUGCAAGAUGCUUGCUAUAAUGAUUGGCAUAGGUGUUGUGAUUGUUGUGAUUAUUGUAGGAGGAUCCAGGAUUGAUUGGAUGUAUUUUGGAAAUUAUUUAACACCAUUAUAGAUUGUUACCUAUGAUCUGUGUAACUAAAUGCAUGUGUAAAUAUAUAUAAUGUUUCCACACAUAUGAUGACAAGCAUGGACUUGCAUGAUGUUAUUAAAUAUAAUACUGACUGCAAUACAAGAUAUUUUGCAAUAAUUUCAUUAGAAUUUAGAAGAUUUAAAGCAAAUUCAUUGAGUAACAAGAUGUGAACUGAAUUGCAAUAUAUAUUCUAUAUAUGGUAAAUUCUAUUUUAUAGACUCAUAUUUUAGCAGCAGAAAUAGUUUCAAAUGUUUGUUUUUUGAAUAUUUAAGAAUCUAUAUUUUACAUUAUUACAACAAUUAAAUAGAAAGAUAUCUUUUUAAUCCCAACAAAAAUAUUUAUUAAGCAAGACUAACAUUUUUAAUUGGAAGUUAUCAUUAGAUUUGUGAAUUUGUGAAAGCAAAGAAACACUUCUGCUUAUGGAAAUAAGGUGCUGUAUAUUACUGAACUAUGUAUUACUAAGAAAUGUUAGUUCUUGUUCAAAAAAUUUUUUGUUAGAAUCAAAAAGUGUCUUGCCACAUAAUAUUGAAAUAAAGUAUCAUUAACUUUAUUAUUUAAUUAUUUUAAAAUUGUAUAGCUAAUUAUGCUUCAAGCUAAUUAAAAUUAGCUUAAAACUUAAGCAGAUAAUUGUUAUAAAGAUCUUGUUUUUUAGAUAUUGAAGUUGAACAAGAUUCAGAAAACAAUUCAAAUAUAAAAAUGACAAGCUUAUAAGAGUUACUUCUCUGUUUUUCAAUGUGUUAAGAAGAUAUAUCUACAAAAUUUCAUAUAAUUCUACAUAAAGUUGGUUAAAUGAAUUAUUGUGUAUUCUGAAUUAUAGCAAGACAGUCCAUCCUUUUUAAAAAUUGAACAAAAAACUAAUAUAUUGCCUUUCAUUCAAACAGCUGUUAAGAAACUAUAGUAAAAUUCACUGACUUAAUCUGGCACAGAUGAGAUCAUAAAGAUGCCAGUUUAAAUGAGAUUCAUCAACUACAGUAUUCUCCUGAACUGACUCAGUUGACUCAAGAUGCUCUUCUGAUAAUAAAAAAUGUUUCUGAGUAAUGUUAAAAUUAAUAAUCCUUAAUAAUAAAACAAAUUGUUAUGUGAUUUAAGUAUUUGAUUGACUUAAUAAAUUUCAGCAUUCGUAUAUUGGAAAGAAUAAUAAACAUAUAGUUUGCAAAAUAAUACUAAUUAUAAGUAAAAAUACUGGAUGAAAAGAAUUUUACUGUAGUUGAAAUUUUAAUUAUGUGAGCUUUUUGAAAUAUCUUUUAAUAAAAAUCAUGCUACUUUGUGUACAUUACUUGUAAAUAAAAUGUGGAAUUUUUCAAGUAUGUGAGAAAUCAGAUGUUGAUGGAUGCUUAAAUUUAUAUUAAUGAUAAACUAUUAGUAGUUGAACUGUUUAUUAAUAAAGUUCUAAAAAGUUCACGUUAUAUUUUUAUUAAAUCUUCAGGAACACACUUGA
RNAcentral lists this unclassified non-coding RNA (1974 nucleotides) under Centruroides sculpturatus (bark scorpion). RNAcentral describes it as "vesicle-associated membrane protein 3-like, transcript variant X7". The record is from RNAcentral. Lineage: Eukaryota; Metazoa; Arthropoda; Arachnida; Scorpiones; Buthidae.